UACGGGGGGUGCGAGCGUUGUCCGGAAUCACUGGGCGUAAAGGGCGCGUAGGUGGUUUGAUAAGGGUGUGGUGAAAGUCCGGGGCUCAACCCCGGAUCUGCCGUGCCGACUGUCAAACUCGAGGACUGUAGAGGCAGACGGAAUUCCGGGUGUAGCGGUGGAAUGCGUAGAGAUCCGGAGGAAGACCGGUGGCGAAGGCGGCCUGCUGGGCAGUUUCUGACACUGAGGCGCGACAGCGGUGGGGAGCAAACAGG
RNAcentral lists this ribosomal RNA (254 nucleotides) under uncultured bacterium. RNAcentral's name for it is "partial 16S ribosomal RNA". It matches the Rfam family "Bacterial small subunit ribosomal RNA", at positions 524 to 776 of the family's 1533-position model. The record is from RNAcentral.